AUUGAACGCUGGCGGCAGGCCUAACACAUGCAAGUCGAGCGAACCUAGCUUGCUAGGUGAGCGGCGAACGGGUGAGUAACACGUAGGAAUCUGCCCGAUAGUGGGGGACAACGUCUCGAAAGGGACGCUAAUACCGCAUACGCCCUACGGGGGAAAGCAGGGGAUCUUCGGACCUUGCGCUAUCGGGUGAGCCUGGGUCGGAUCAGCUAGCUGGUGGGGUAAAGGCCUACCAAGGCGACGAUCCGUAGCUGGUCUGAGAGGACGACCAGCCACACUGGGACUGAGACACGGCCCAGACUCCUACGGGAGGCAGCAGUGGGGAAUAUUGGACAAUGGGCGCAAGCCUGAUCCAGCAAUGCCGCGUGUGUGAAGAAGGCCCUCGGGUUGUAAAGCACUUUUAAUGGGGAAGAAAAAGUCGGAGAUAAUAUCUCCGAAAAUUGACGUUACCCACAGAAAAAGCACUGGCUAACUCUGUGCCAGCCGCCGCCGUAA
Molecule: ribosomal RNA, 492 nt
Filed under: uncultured bacterium
Lineage: Bacteria
Description: partial 16S ribosomal RNA
Rfam family: Bacterial small subunit ribosomal RNA
Source: RNAcentral